RNAcentral lists this ribosomal RNA (505 nucleotides) under Nucella lapillus. RNAcentral describes it as "partial 16S ribosomal RNA". It matches the Rfam family "Bacterial large subunit ribosomal RNA", at positions 1811 to 2582 of the family's 2925-position model. The record is from RNAcentral. Lineage: Eukaryota; Metazoa; Mollusca; Gastropoda; Neogastropoda; Muricidae.
AAACAUGGCUCCUUGUAUUUUAAAAAUAGGGAGUCGGACCUGCCCAGUGAAAUUUUUUAACGGCCGCGGUACUCUGACCGUGCAAAGGUAGCAUAAUCAUUUGCCUUAUAAUUGAAGGCUUGUAUGAAUGGUUUGACAAGAAUAAAGCUGUCUCUUUAUAAUUAAUUUGAAUUUUAUUUUUAGGUGAAGAAGCCUAUAUUUUAUUGAAAGACAAGAAGACCCUAUCGAGCUUUAAAAAAAUUAAUAAACUUAAAAAUUAGUAUUUGUAAUACAAAUUUUACUAUUAAAUCAUUUUAGUUGGGGCGACUGAGGAACAAACAAAGCUUCCUGUGUAAAUAUUAAUACAUUCAAGUACUGAUCCAAAAAUUUUGAUUAAAGAAAUUAGUUACCGUAGGGAUAACAGCAUUAUCUUUUUUGAGAGUUCUAAUCGAAAAAAAGGUUUGUGACCUCGAUGUUGGACCAGAAUAUCCUAAAGAUGCAGCCGUCUUUAAGGGUUGGUCUGUUC